CUCAAGGCAACGCCAGAUCCUUAACCCACUGAGUGAAUCCAGGGAUCAAAUCUGCAUCCUCAUGGAUACUCGUCAGGUUUGUUAACCACUAAGCCAUGACAGGAACUCCUACUUCUCAAAUUCUUAACAUUUGCUCAGGUUUCUCAAAAAUGCCACGUAGUAUAUAUUCUUGUCCCCUGUAUUCUAGAAAGUUACAUGCCACUUAUCAACUGAUGCGCCAACUUGAGUUGUGUUUGCAGUCCAAUAAAAUACUGGACUCUGGUACAUGGUUUCACAAUAACCAUUCUAGACCAGUGAUUGCAUCUAUAGUAAGUCAAUUCACAUCCUACCUAGAUAGAUAUAACACUUCAAAAGCCUGAUAAGCCCCUCUAGUUACUUUGCCAGUAUAAUAGGCUUUCCUAUUUUCAGAUUCUUCUGACUUUCUUUUCUUUCUUUUUCUUUUCUCUCAAGAGUUUUAAGAUAGCAAUUUUCUGAAGCCUAGGCUGUCACCCUCUACAAUUCAGAUCUCCUAAGUGGAUUCAGAAGACAAUACUGCCUUGUUCCCAAUGCUCCUCAUUCCAUGAUAAUUCAGUUGUCCACAGUAAAAUGGCAGAAUCCACAGUGUCCUGGACUCAGAGCCACACAGGAGCAUUUCAUAGUCAGGAAUAUGCUAUUCACUCUGGAAUAUUUUCUUAAAGCUAUUUCUUAGAGGAGGGUGGCUCUAUAUCAUGCUGAGCUGAUACAUGUCCAUUGGUAAUAUUCUACCAUGUUCAUUUCAUAUUCUCCGUAGAAUCUUUAGGAGUCUCUAAUUCAUUGAGCCUCGUACCACACCGUGCCCUCCCUGUUCAUUUUAGUUUAUUUUCAACUGACAGAAUCUAUUUUCUGUAAUUUUUCUCAUUUGGUAUUUUUUUUAUCAUGUAUGUUCUCUUCUGCUAUCUCAAAUGUCUUUGUUACCAUAUGUUUCUCUCACAGUCUGAAAGAUGAGGUUCUCAAAAUCAUCACAUGUAUAUUUAUACGAUUUGGGACUAGUGGGUCAGAAAUACAUCUCUUUUAACCAACUACAGCUUCCCCCUUCAGUUAAGUAACUAUUUCUCAAGUCUUCAUAGAAAUAAAACAAAAAUGUGCUAUUUUUCCCUUAACUGUUAUGUGGGAGAUUUUAAUUUACACAUACUUCCCUAAAGAGUAUGUGAACAACGCAGAGCUGCCAACAUAAGAAAUAUUUUCUGGGAAAAUUAAAGAAUUGUAUAAAAGUUGUGUGAAAAAUGGGAUUAGAAAAUUUGGACUUUAUCUUUCUUUUUUUGCUGUUUUCUUUUGUCUUUCAAGACACUGAAUUCAAAAUAUUAGUGUUCCAAAUUCAAAAUUAAAAUCUUACUUUUCAAGAAUAAGCAUACCCUAAUAACUUGAACCAACAGUGUUAAUUUCAGGUUUCUAGAAAGUUAGAGGGCAAAACACAAGUCAGUGUUCAAGGUUGUAUGAUAUGAAACCAAUCCAAGGAAUUAAUACACACACAUAAAGUCAUCCUAAUGAAAAGAUUCCUUAGACAUACUGGAAUAAUGCUAGAUUUUUUGCUUCUCUAUUACAACAAUAAAAUGCUAAUAUAACAACUUCAGGUUGUUCUCAAUUAAGAUAAUAAAGGAAGCAUGCAGAGAAAACAGGAGUGGUUGUCAGGAAGCCUAGUUUACUGCAUACUUAAUUAUGUGCCCACUAGCAUUAGACUUAAACUUUGCUCAUGUUAGCUGAAGUCCAGAACAAUAAUGUGCCUAUUGCUGCCUAUUAAUGCUAUUUGUUCCAUAUUCAUGUUUUUGAUUAAUCAGUCAGCCAGAUCUGCAGAUCACAAGAUGUGGCUCACGGAUGAAGAUUUUUUUUCUUUUUGGCUGUGCCCCCGGCAUGUGGGAGUUCCCUGGCCAGGGAUGGAACCUGAGCCACAGCAGCCACAGGAGCUACAGCAGUGACAAUGUAAGACCCUUAACUCUCUGAGCCACAAGGGAACUCCAAGGUUAUUUAUUUUUUUAUUUAUUACCAAUAGCUCAGUAGCUUGAGUUAACUUUCUGUCAGUUAAAUGCUGUGCAUUCUACUCUGCCUUUUCCUCUGCAUCUUCAAUGGCGACUUAGCCUCGUAAGGAGAAUUUUAACACCUGCAACACUCUGAUAAUAAAAUGCAAAUAAAACUCAAGGAAAGGAUGAGAGGAAUACCACAGGGAGGAAGCAGAAGAUAGAGUUAUUGAGGAAUAUAGGUAAUAAUUUGCAUGAGAGAAUUUAAGAGAUUUUGUUAUAGAAAUAUUGUUUCAGAAUUCUCUCUACACAGAGAUUUGAGCACUACUGCUUCUAAAUUUUGUUACAACUGACUCACUUAUAAAUUAAUCUCCUCGAUGAAAAAGCUAGAUUCAGAUUGCUCGGAAAUAGGAAAUAGGUCCUGAACAAAAUUUGUUACUUUUUUCCCCUGUAACAGAACAACGUAGAAAUACGUCACCAUAUUUUAUGUGUAUUUAUGUGUGUUAAAUAAAAACAUGUUAACUUUUUAAAAAAUGGCUGGGAAGAUGGAAUUCACUCCUACAGUUUUGAACAUUAUGCUAAAAUUAACCAUUCAGUACUGGUUCUCAAUUUAAGUAUCAUGAAGAAUCUAUCGAGAAAGUAAAAAUAGAACCUCUGACUAGAACGAUGGCUCCCUGGAAAAGAUCUUUGAUUGUACUCUGGAGCAGGGAAGAUGGCAGCUGUAGAGAAGACAGAGUAUUUGCAUAUGAAAAGAGCAAAUCUGGUUCAACUCACCUUUGUCAGUACCAGAAGACUCCCAUUCUCCAGCUCCUCCCUUACUCCCUAGGCUUCUGUCAAGUCGGUACUCACUUCUAUUUUGCCUUGUUUUCAUGAAUAUUACCUAGAUGGCUGAUUCCAUCCCCAAGCAACUGAAUGAAAAACAAGUCUGUGCUCAAGUCUCCUCCGUGUUGAUAUCCCAUGCUAUGUCAUGUAAAGCCCGAACUGGUCUGCCAUCAAUGGCCUAAUAUUCUUGGCUCUUUGUGUGCAUGUACCAAACCCAUGUUCCACUUCAGAAACACGUGCUUGCAGCUUUCUGCUGCUCUUUUCAGAAGCAACAUAUGUGCUGCUUAAGAAAGGAUGAAAAUGUUAUUCCAAGAAUGGAAGCAGGUCCCUCUGAAUACUGAAAGAAAUAUUGUGAGUCAGUUAAUGGAAAUCUGUAGUGUUAGAACUAGGGUCACAAAAGAGGAAGCAACACAGGGAACAACCUUAAAUCUUUUACCCGCCUAGGGAUUCAGAUGACAACAUUUUUCCAGAACUGCCAGUCUGACAUAGGAUGCAAAGGGAUUCCUGUUCAGGACAAGCAGAGCAGCCAUCAGUCAAUUUAGCAGUACACAUGGUUAGUGGGGGAAGGGCUGCUUCCUCCAUUCAUCUCUGAACCAAAAGAUGAGGCCAGUGUGGCUGGUGGAGAUAGUUCCUUACAGGAUGGGUGGGAGGAAAGUCAGAGCCUAAGUCACCAAAGGUGGGUGGCUAAGGGAAUGUGCUCAAAUUUGUUGACCUCUGAGGACACAAAAUGAUGCCUAAGAGGCAUUUGGGAGUCUGAGGAAGAAUAAAGGAAAUUGGAACCUUGGGAUGUUGCCUUCAGGGGUUAAGUCUCCUGGGAGAAUCUGAGGUCCAUUUGUUUGGACAGGAAGUAGCAGGCAAGUUGGAAAGCAGUUGUUUAAUCUGGCUAAUUUCCCACACAAAACACUGACUCAUGGUCCGGGUUUCACCAAAUCAUGCAUGAGGCAAGUUGUUAGACACACUUUCCCCUGAAUCAAAAUGCUGCAGAAAAAUUACAUUGUAUAUAUUGCACCCAAGGGCUUACAUUUUAGAAGGUGGUAUUUUAAUUAAGGAAAUUUUUAAAAUUUCAGUGAUAUUUUCCCCAUAAAUGUGUGGGACUUAGUAGUUAUAUGUAGAAUUAACAGUCUUCUGUGAAACUGCCAUUUCUAAUGUCAACUAUUUUAAAGUAGAUUUAAAGUAUUAAAUCAAAGCCCUAUAUGGAUAGAUUAGGAAACAAGGGGAAAAGGGAAGCAGGAGAAUAGAUGGUUCUGAAAGGAUAAUUGGCCUCUCCUGUUAUUGUCUCUAUCGCAAACAGUCUCUGUGGGGGAGGGUGGACACAUUAUCACUCCCCAUUUUUCUUGAGUCUCUUGAAUCAAUCAAAUGUGUGUGGGUUUUUUUUUUUUUUCGUACACAAAAGAAAAUCUCAAUAUUCAUGUUAAAUAUGGGCUUGAAGGGUGUCAAUUCUCUCAUUGUAAGACGGUUGACUCACAGGAAGUAACAGAAGGUUGGUAGAGAACGUAAAGCUAGAAAUGACUAGUGAGCCAGGAGACUUGACACAAGAGGAGGAAGACACUGGGUCUGUGGGUGAGAAAUCAAAUGUGGACUUGAAAUCAAAUGCUUGAAGGCAGAAAGGGUCUAAUUAUUCGGAGCAAAAUCCACAAGCUUCACACUCUGUGGAAACAGAUCAGACAACUUCAAAGAGGGACAGGUUCUCCGAGAAUCAGAGUUUAGAGGAAACAAAGAGCACACUUCUUAUAAUACUUGGGAUCUCCAAGGAGAGCCUUGAGCUCAGCAGAGAGCCUGUGAGCUGGAGGUAGAUGCUUCAUUGCCCCAGCUAUGCAGGAAGUUUCAGAACAAAGGAGCAACAGUCGUUUAUACUACCCACACUAACCUAGAGAAGAACCAACUUCUCAGCAUUCCCAGGACAUACAGGAGACGAGGUAAGAUGAGAAUAUGAGACACCUUCUGUUUGAAGGUCUCCUUGGUAGUUCUUUCUUGCUCCCUGCAGGAAAUAGUCAAAGGCUCAAGAUCACAGGUUCCAGUCCUGACUGCAUGACUUUGGAUUUGUGUUGAAGUCUCAGUAUCCUCCUCUGGAAAUGGGGAUGAUCAUUACAGUGAUUCUCACUGAGAACAUGUGAAGAUCUAAUUAAAUACGUGGGAAAAAGAUUUGUUAAUUUCCUAAUGAUGUAUUCAUAAUGUACGUCUCACUUCGAUGAAUACUAACUCGAACACUGUAAAACUGGAAUUCUUAUGCACAACUUGCAGAUAAGGAAUCAGCUUUACAGAGAGGGUAAGAGACUAACCCACAACAAUAAUAAAAUACCAUUGAGCAAUCAUGUAUAUACUAGCACCGUUUUAGUGCCUUAGGUACCCUACCUCAUUUCAUCCACAAAACAACCCAGAGAAGAGGAAUAGUUCAGAAAUGCACAGGGAGCCAGUAGCAGAAUCUAGAUUCAAAUGCUUUGAGAUUGGCAGCCCAGCCCAUGCUUUCAAAUCAAUCACAUGUAGCAUCUGCCCUUGCACUGCCUUCUCUCAGGGUCACAUGUGGUAGGCUGAAAUCUAGGCUCAAAUCUCUGGACCCCAGUCCAUCUCUACUCUUUUAGUUGUCUGUUAUGCUUCUUGUUACUUAUGUAUGUAUGUUCUUAAGGGCAUCUCUAUAGGAAAAUGGCUUGCUUCCUGAUGCUGUCAUAACACAGGAAUCUUGAAGUUACUUUUUGAAAAAUGGGGGCAUAAAGUUCUAUGCAGAUAAACAGCUCUCCAGUUUAGUUAUAGGACCCACUUGUUCAGCUCAGCCUAUGACUGAUUCUUCCUGUCAGUUCUCUCUAGAUGAACUCCAAGGGCAGUUGGGUUCUAACCUUCCUAAUGUAAUUUCCUAACAACAAAAUAUCCAUGGUUAAAUAACUGUCUUCACUGCAAAUACUAAAAUGAAUUGCUUUUUACAAACAAUUCUGUGAGCAACAAUUACAAAACAUUUCAAGGGCAUUUCUAAAUAUAUAGAUUUAUUUUCUGGAGAAAUGUGAAUUCAAAAGCAAUGGCAUUCAUGCUUGCGUUCAUUCUGUGGACAUUUAUUGAAUGUCUAAAUGUGCAUACUAUGAUUCUAGGUGACAGUUUCAUAGCAGUGAACAGGAAAGCAAGUUCCCUAUUUUAUGGAGCUUAUAGUCUAGCAAGACAUAAAGUGUUAAAAAAAAAUCAUUUAGUGUGAAUUUUAAACAGGGUGGUUAAAUUGAUAAUGUUGGGGGGAGCAUGGAUCAAGAAAAGCUUCUGUGAUGAAAUGACAUCUGAGCUGUGACCUAAAACACACCAAGGCGCUAGCUAAGAGGGGGAGGACAAAUUCAAAGACCCAAAUGCUUGGCCUGUUUGACAAAUGAAAAAGAAGAGCAGUGAGGUUGAGAAUGAGGCUGGCAGAGUGGGCUGGAAGAAUAGCACAGGCAAGAUGAGAAGGCUUGCUUCUCGAGAUCCUUUAAAGUGUGGUAAGUUAUUUCGAUUUUAUUCCAUGUGAAAUGGAAGCCAUUGAAGGAUUUUUAACUAGUGAUGUAAAGAAAUCAUGAUUAUAUUUUAAAAGGAUUAUUACUGUUUUUCUGUCAGGAAGGAAGUGUGUAGGGGCAAGAGCAGCUGCCAGCAGACCCAUGAAGAUGCCUUUAACCCACCCAGAAAUUCAUGAGAAGAGAGGGAUCAAGAAGGAGGAGGCACAGCCCAACGGUUAAAAGCAGGAGCUUCAGAAUCAGACAAAACGCAACUUGGAUCCUGACUCUCUCACUCAACUUCCGUAAGAUCUUUGGAAAGUUGAUCACUGAGAAUCUUAGAUUUUUCAUCUCUCCGUUGAAAAUAAUAUGGGAGAACACGUUUUGUACUCAGACUCCUGGGUUCAGUUGUUGGGCUUAUUACUUUACCUGCUUAUGUCUUAGUUUCCUUCCCAUGAAACAAGGACGAUAACAGAGUAAUUAUCCUAUAAUGGACUCAUCUCAUAAUGAAAUUGUGAGAAUUAAAGUAAUUAAUUUAUGUAAAUUAUUUAGAACAAUGUAUGGUGAACAAAUAAGCACUCAAUACAUGUUAGCUAUUUUUAAUGUUAUUACCCUUCAGAAUUGUGGUUACGGAAAACAUAGCACACUGUUUAUAAAGAGAUAAGCCCAAAGUAGAUGCUCAAAACAUGGUAGCUAUUACUGGGUUCUCUUAGUAGUUGGCAAAAUGACUUCUUUUAGAGUGGUCCCCAAAAUUACUGUCCAGUAGAAUGUAACGUUUUAUAAGGAAUGUAUCAUACUAUGAGAAUAAAGGAAAUGACAUUCAACUUAUAAUCAGGCAAUAAAAUAGAGCAAGCACAGGCCUUGUCUAGUUCUUAGCAGUUGCUUCUCUUAAUUGCUUGAAUAGCGUCUUGCAUCUUCUAUGAAGUAAUCUUUUCAUCAACUGAUUAUAUACAAAAAUAUACCUCUGUGCUUAGUGUUCCCUUUAGCUUGCCCAGGAUACCAUGUAGAGGGUAAAAAAUACUAAAGAAGAUCUAGUAAAAUCUUCCAUUCUCCCACUGGAGCUUUAAAAAAGUCAGAGCUUUAUGAUCAUUUAUAGAACACAGAUCAGCAGGAGAGUAAAAGUGUGAACACAGGAGAAAAUUGGCAAGUUUGGCCUCCUAGGGUGUUUUUUUUUUUUUUUUUUUUUUUCUUUUAGAGAAACAUAUAAAACAAUGCCUGACUUAUAGCAAUUCAUAAAAUAUGAAUAAAUCUGACAUGCAGGAUAAUGAAGGCCUUAGCAAGCUAUAAAAUGCUGUCCAUAAAGAGAUGAGAUAGUAUUUGUGCAGCAUGUCAAUAGGGCACCUUUUAUGCAUAUUUGCAAAUUCUGGACCCAGAAAAUUGAUCCUAUGAGUUACAGAACUUUUUAUUUUUCUAUCUGGGCUACUAGGAAUACAGUGGCUGUAUACACAAAACUUAAAACCAGUACACAUAAUCACAUAUAUGAUCCAACAGAAGAAUAAAGCACUUGGAAUAAGCACUCUAUUGAACAAGGCCUUAAUAACCAAACGGGACAACCUCUCCUUACUGAAAGCCAUUCUAACAUUUGAAGUAACUUAGCUAGGGAUGUCCUGCCAUUGUACCAUGACAUGAUGUUGUGGUGAAACUUAAUUUUAAUCACUGAUUUCUAGGCUGGUAUAUUAAUCAUUUAUCUGAUACAGGUAUAUAGUGGGUUGCAUGCCCACAGCCUUAAAAAAAAAAUCCUCCAUAUCCAUAGAAAAAAACAGAGUUUCUGCAAGGGUGUGCUUCAAUUUGUGUAUUUAGCCACAUUAUGGCAGAACCGACAUGGCUUGCAGAGUGAAUGGCAAGUAAUUUCCUAUAAAGCACUUGGAAUCAUUUGGAUUCUUCGGUGCCAUGAUUCCAAAAGACUAGGAAGUAGAUGAAUCAAGAAAUCUAUUUGAGAACACAGUUUUCAUUUAUCUUCUAGGAAAAUAAGAUGGUUGGCUUUGUAUAUGCAACUUGGUACAAUAAUAAAAAAGUGGUUAUGGCA
Molecule: non-coding RNA, 8255 nt
Organism: Sus scrofa (pig)
Lineage: Eukaryota; Metazoa; Chordata; Mammalia; Artiodactyla; Suidae
Source: RefSeq, a predicted model, not a curated record